Molecule: ribosomal RNA, 585 nt
Filed under: uncultured bacterium
Lineage: Bacteria
Description: partial 16S ribosomal RNA
Rfam family: Bacterial small subunit ribosomal RNA
Source: RNAcentral
UGGGGAAUUUUGGACAAUUGGGCGAAAGCCUGAUCCAGCAAUGCCGCGUGUGUGAAGAAGGCCUUCGGGUUGUAAAGCACUUUUGUCCGGAAAGAAAUCCUUGGCUCUAAUACAGUCGGGGGAUGACGGUACCGGAAGAAUAAGCACCGGCUAACUACGUGCCAGCAGCCGCGGUAAUACGUAGGGUGCAAGCGUUAAUCGGAAUUACUGGGCGUAAAGCGUGCGCAGGCGGUUUGCUAAGACCGAUGUGAAAUCCCCGGGCUCAACCUGGGAACUGCAUUGGUGACUGGCAGGCUAGAGUAUGGCAGAGGGGGGUAGAAUUCCACGUNUAGCAGUGAAAUGCGUAGAGAUGUGGAGGAAUACCGAUGGCGAAGGCAGCCCCCUGGGCAAUACUGACGCUCAUGCACGAAAGCGUGGGGAGCAAACAGGAUUAGAUACCCUGGUAGUCCACGCCCUAAACGAUGUCAACUAGUUGUUGGGGAUUCAUUUCCUUAGUAACGUAGCUAACGCGUGAAGUUGACCGCCUGGGGAGUACGGUCGCAAGAUUAAAACUUAAAGGAAUUGACGGGGUCAUAGCUGUUUCCU